AACGCGAAGAACCUUACCUGGGCUCGAACGGCUUCGGACAAACUGUGGAAACACGGUCUUCCCGCAAGGGACUGGAGUCGAGGUGCUGCAUGGCUGUCGUCAGCUCGUGUCGUGAGAUGUUGGGUUAAGUCCCGCAACGAGCGCAACCCUCGUCCUGUGUUGGCAUGCCGCAAGGCGCAACUCUCAGGAGACCGCCAGCGAUAAGCUGGAGGAAGGUGGGGAUGACGUCAAGUCAUCAUGGCCUUUAUGUCCAGGGCCACACACGUGCUACAAUGGGCGGUACAAAGCGCUGCCAACCCGCGAGGGGGAGCUAAUCGCCAAAAACCGUCCUCAGUUCGGAUUGCAGGCUGCAACUCGCCUGCAUGAAGUCGGAAUCGCUAGUAAUCGCAGAUCAGCAUGUUGCGGUGAAUACGUUCCCGGGCCUUGUACACACCGACUGUAC
This 442-nucleotide ribosomal RNA is filed under the name uncultured bacterium. Its description in RNAcentral is "bacterial SSU rRNA". It matches the Rfam family "Bacterial small subunit ribosomal RNA", at positions 958 to 1399 of the family's 1533-position model. The record is from RNAcentral.